AUUUUUUAUUACUAAAAAUAAAUAUGUAUAUAGUUAAUGUAAAUUUAUUUAUUUCUAUUUAAUUUUAUAAAAUACCUCGAUAAUUUUACAAUUUUAACGCUUUUUUCUGUUUUUUUUAUUGUUACGCAUAUUUUUUACAAAUUAAAUAAUUUUUUUUAAAAAAAAAAAAAUAAAAAUAAAAAAAACGUUUAAAAUGAAAAAAUUGUAUAUUUCAUUGUUAUUCCUUAUAUUUUAUUUUGGCAAUUUGGAACUGACAUAUACCAGUAAUAGUGGUCAUUUAAAAAAAGACAGAACGGGUAAUAAUCAUGAAAAUGAAGAACAAGCAAUAAAUACGGAUAGGAAGGACAGAACGAAACGAGACGUAAAUCCUGCAGAAACUAAAAUGUCAGACACAGUUCAAAAUGCAGGGACAAAAAAACAAUAUAUAGAUACGUUAGAUGAUAAUUUUCCAAAAUUAACAGCGUAUAUGGCAACGAGUUUAUUUGAUGAAACAAGUGAAUAUUAUAAUAAUAUUAAUAAUCUAGGUCGUUUAUUUAUGGAAAAUUCUGAUGGCAAUGUUUCAAAUAAGGAUAAAGGUUACUCAAUACUCUAUUUAAAAUAUACUAAAAAAAAUAAGACAAACUCUAAAAUUAAUAUUGAAGCAAAAUUUUUAACAUAUCAAAUUCAUGCCACAAAAACAACAACUGAUAUGCCAUUUAAUCAAACAAUUGAUCUUAUUUCUGACAAUGGCCAAAAAAAUAAGUAUUAUAACACCAUACGUAAACUAUCGGAUAUGUACACUACACGCGUUUAUAUCAACAGCCCAUUUUUUAAAUCAGGAUUUUUAAUACAUAUUAUACAGUAUGAUGCUAACUCCGACCCAGCGAAAACAGUUUCACAAAAGGGAUCUGGUGUAAUUUGUGUACAAAAAGUCAAGGAACAAACAUGUAAACUAGAAUUUAAUGAAUUGAAUUAUGAACUUUUUCCAAAUUUGUGUGCGAAUCUUCAACUUAUGCAAAUCCCUAUCACAAAUAAAGCACUUAGUGAACAUUGUGAUAGUACGAAUUUAAAUAGUACGAAUUUAGAAGACCUCGUACAAAAUUUAGAUGAAAAACAACCAGAUUUACGUCACACAUAUUUUAUAGAACAGGACUUUCCACAAGAUUUUGGUCAAUUAUUCAUUUUUACACCUUUUUGCAAAAAAAUAAAAAUAGAUGAAGAUAGAUGUACAGAUUUGUUUUUUAAACAGUACAACAUAUUAGUAAUUCCUUUUAAAGAUGAUAAGUAUAUAAACAUGAUAAUUACUUGUAUGGAACCUUAUUAUAAUUUAAUAAUAAAACCAGAUGGUAAUGACCUUAAAAAAAAUCAUGAAAAACAAGAGAAAAGCAUAAAUAAUAAAGAAACAACUCAUGAAGGUUUACUAAGAAAACUUAGUGAUAGUAUACAUGCUAAUGACACGGAAACUUGUAAACAAACUUUCAUCAAAUUAGCAUCUUUUUCUACAGAAAGUCCCAACAAAUCCAGUUAUAAACGUUCUAAUUUAUCAGUUGGUAUGGUGCGAAGAAUACUUUCAUAUUUCGGGUUUCAAUAAUUAUAAUUAGGUUAUAAUUUUACAAAAUACAAUAAUAGUUUGUCCUAUUAUUUGUGCAUACAUAUAAAUUUAUGUAUAUACAUUUUUAUUCUGCUUUAAAAAAAAAAAUAAUAAUACAAAAUUUAUUAAAUUCUAAGCAAAAUUUAAUAUCACUAUUCAUCAUUUUUAUUUAUUCUAUUUUUUUUUUUUUUGCUUUUUAGCUUUUUAACUUUUUUUUUUUUUUUACAUAAAUAUUAAAACUAUAAAUAAAAUCAACAUUAUAAUUAUAAGCA
Molecule: long non-coding RNA, 1842 nt
Organism: Piliocolobus tephrosceles (Ugandan red Colobus)
Lineage: Eukaryota; Metazoa; Chordata; Mammalia; Primates; Cercopithecidae
Source: Ensembl